Molecule: non-coding RNA, 519 nt
Organism: Pelobates cultripes (western spadefoot toad)
Lineage: Eukaryota; Metazoa; Chordata; Amphibia; Anura; Pelobatidae
Source: the annotation of a GenBank genome assembly
GUUAGCACAGACAGCUGGUAUUAAAUCAAUGGACAUCUCAGCAAUAUUGCUACUUCCAUUUAUUGCUCAUUUGUGAGUACAAGUACAUGAGGUACCAGGAUGUCAGGUACCAGUCAAUGAGCAGAUAGAUGUGGACAGCUCCAAGUAAAGGUUGCUUGCUAGCAAAGCACAUUUUACUCACCCGAAACAUACAUACAUAAAUACACACACACACACACACACACAGUUAUUCACUAAAGUUAGAAUUCAAAAUGAAUUUCCAAUUUUAUACCAAAAUAGCCAAACCGGAAGCAUAGCGGAUUAGUGAAUUUUUCAAAUUUCAGAUAUUUUGAUCUGAAAGAGACACUACGGGCACCCAGACCAGAUCAUCUCAUUGAAGUGGUCUGGGUACAGUUUCCCUGUCCCCUCAACCCUGCAUUGGGGAAGGCCUAAUGUGCAUGUGGUGCUCUGAGAGACAUUGGCGUUGGAAUCAGAUAAGUAAAAAAAGGGCAAGUAACCCUUUAUCUGCUAUGAAGAUAG